RNAcentral lists this long non-coding RNA (382 nucleotides) under Homo sapiens (human). RNAcentral describes it as "non-protein coding lnc-ACTR10-4:1". Lineage: Eukaryota; Metazoa; Chordata; Mammalia; Primates; Hominidae. The record is from RNAcentral.
GAUGCAGAUCUUUGUGAAGACCCUCACGGGCAAGACCAUCACCCUUGAGGUCAAGCCCACCGACACCAUUUAGAAUGUCAAAACCAAAAUUCAGGACAAGGAGGGUAUCCCACCUGACCAGCAGCGUCUGAUAUUUGCUGGGAAACGGCUGGAGGAUGGCCACACUCUCUCAGGCUACAACAUCCAGAAAGAGUCCACCCUAAACCUGGUGCUGCGCCUGCGAGGUGGCAUUACUGAGCCUUCCCUCCGCCAGCUCGUCCAGAAAUACAACUGCGACGAGAUGAUCUGCUGCAAGUGCUAUGCUUGCCUGCACCCCGGUGCUAUCAACUGCCACAAGAAGAAAUGCGGCCACACCAACAACCUGUACCCCAGGAAGAAGGUC